Molecule: ribosomal RNA, 411 nt
Filed under: Bombina orientalis
Lineage: Eukaryota; Metazoa; Chordata; Amphibia; Anura; Bombinatoridae
Description: partial 12S ribosomal RNA
Rfam family: Bacterial small subunit ribosomal RNA
Source: RNAcentral
GCCCCACCCACCUAGAGGAGCCUGUUCUAUAAUCGAUAACCCCCGCUUAACCUCACCACUUCUUGCCAAUACCGCCUAUAUACCACCGUCGCCAGCCCACCCCGUGAGGGAAAUAGUAGGCACAAUGAUAAGUCACCAAAACGUCAGGUCAAGGUGUAGCGUAUGAAGUGGAAAGAAAUGGGCUACAUUCUCUAACCUAGAGCACACGAAAAAUCAUAUGAAAUUAGAUUAGAAGGAGGAUUUAGUAGUAAAAAGAAACAAUAGUGUUCUUUUUAAGUUGGCCCUGGGGCGCGCACACACCGCCCGUCACCCUCUUCAACUAAUAAAACACGAUUUAUAAAACACAAAACAAUUACAAGAAGAGGUAAGUCGUAACAUGGUAAGUAUACCGGAAGGUGUGCUUGGAAUUAC